This 253-nucleotide ribosomal RNA is filed under the name uncultured bacterium. RNAcentral describes it as "partial 16S ribosomal RNA". It matches the Rfam family "Bacterial small subunit ribosomal RNA", at positions 524 to 776 of the family's 1533-position model. The record is from RNAcentral.
UACGUAGGGGGCAAGCGUUGUCCGGAUUUAUUGGGCGUAAAGAGCGUGUAGGCGGCCAGACAGGUCCGUUGUGAAAACUCGAGGCUCAACCUCGAGACGUCGAUGGAAACCGUCUGGCUAGAGUCCGGAAGAGGAGAGUGGAAUUCCUGGUGUAGCGGUGAAAUGCGCAGAUAUCAGGAAGAACACCCGUGGCGAAGGCGGCUCUCUGGGACGGGACUGACGCUUAGACGCGAAAGCGUGGGGAGCGAACAGG